CGCUGUGGGGCUGGGAGCCCUCAGUGCCGCUGUGGGGCUGGGAGCCCUCAGUGCCGCUGUGGGGCUGGGAGCCCUCAGUGCUGCUUGGGGCGCUGCCAGGGCAUGGCUGGGUCCUGCUGAAGGCCGGGCUGAGCGUGCGAGUGCAGGAGCCUGUGGCUGUUGCCUGGUGAGCACGACAAACAGCCCCGAGGAAAAGACUCCGCUCCACGGCGUGUCAGAGUCUUUCGGUGGCCUUAAACCCCUCAGUUUGUCAGGUGUUGUGGUGAGUCUGGUGCUGCUGUGUAUUUUCCAGGCUGAACCGACCCAGCUCUCUCAGCUUUCCCUCACGGGACAGACACUCCUGUUCCUUCACCGUGUUUGUGGCCCUUCCCUGGGCUCUUCCCGGUAGCUCCGCAUCUCUGGUGGGCUGGAGAGCCCAGACAGGCACAGCACUCCAGGUGUGCCUCACGGGCAGGGGAGAGGGCAGGAUCCCUCCGUGCCCCGCUGGCAGCACCCCCAGUGAGCCUGGCAGGGAUUUGGGGCACUCACCACUGCCCCGUGAUCCUCCUGGGCCUUUCUGGUUGAGCUGCUGUUGUUUCAUGCGGUUUUUCCUCCCCAGGGAGACCAGAGGAAAGAGGAGCAAGAAUGAAGAAGUAAAUUUUCACUCUUCUUGAAGAAAAAAUGGUGAAGUCAUUUGGGAUCCAGUUGUAUUCUAUGCAGGGUGGAAGAAAACAAUCGUAUUAGUAUAUCAUUGCUUUUUUUUACGCUUUUUGCACCUCACCUUUGGCCUUCAGAAGACACAGAUAUCUCUAAAUUUUUUGUCUUGGUUUGGUUUGGUUUUUUUUUUUUUGUUUUUCCUAAAAUCUAGGACAUUACUUUUUCAUUGAGAAAAUUUUUUUAAUGGGAGGUUCAAACAAGGUGUUUGAAGUCUCACACAUGAGAUGUACCUUGUCUUCACAUCUUCACAUUCUUUUGUCCUUUUGCAGGUCAAAUUUAUACAAAUUAAUACUGAUAAAUGUACAUCAGCAAUCCUAUAGCAUAUGGGUUAUUCUGCAGUCUGUAGGUCUGUAGUGAAUUCUCCAGCUAGGCUUACAGUCUACCAUAUAUUUGUAAGUUUACACUUCAUGAAAACUAACCUGAAUGGUAGCAACUGAUAUUUUAAAGCAUUGUUAUACAUACUGAAUGAUUUAUGCAUGUUUAAGGUUGAAUCCAGAUCUUUUUUUUAAAUCACAAAAUCAUAGAAUCACAGAAUGUUAAGGGUUGCAAGAGGCCUUAAAGAUCAUCUAGUCACAAUCUCCCUUCCACGCAACCAGGUUGCUCAAGACCUUAUCCAACUUAAAAAAUAAAUUAAGAGGGUCCCACGGAGAGCUGGCUGAGUAACAACAAUCACACCAAUAAGGCUUCAUGCCGUUCUAUAAAUUUUAUUAACAAACUUAUCAUACAUAUAUUUCUAUGCUUUGUUCACACAGCAAUUAUCUAACACUCAUUGGCUAACUGGCUGAAAUCACGCAUACAUGUUACUGGUUGAUUUGCUGUCAUGCUGCAAGUGCUUGGUCAGAGCUUGCUGAUAUAGUGGUUCUCAUAUCCUGCAUAGUGUCUAGUUGUACUUGUACAAUGGUUCAUUUUUCCUUAUUCUGCUUGUUCAAGGAUGGUCCAAGAUUGUUAAAGUAACUGUAAUCUGCAGGUCCAGGUUGUCCAGUCCCUGCAAAGGAAUAGCAUGUCCCUGUUCUGCAAGAAAUUCCUGUACAAAUAAACACCUACCUGGAAUAUU
Non-coding RNA from Taeniopygia guttata (zebra finch), 1750 nucleotides. The record is from RefSeq and is a predicted model, not a curated record. NCBI's taxonomy places the organism in Eukaryota, Metazoa, Chordata, Aves, Passeriformes, Estrildidae.